Molecule: long non-coding RNA, 222 nt
Organism: Gambusia affinis (western mosquitofish)
Lineage: Eukaryota; Metazoa; Chordata; Actinopteri; Cyprinodontiformes; Poeciliidae
Exons: 3
Source: RefSeq, a predicted model, not a curated record
CUUGUUUCCUCACAAAAGGAACAUGGCACACACAGACUCUACUGCUAAUGGACGGCUGGGUGGAAAUCUAACAGCUCACUCCAUGCAGUGUAACCGAUCUUGUGGAUGGACACUUAAAAAACAGCGUCAGACACAACAGUCUGUAAACAGCCUGGUAACAGCCAGGCCCUGGUUUCUCUUCGUUCAGGAGGUCUGGACCCCCUGCUGUUGGGAAACGACGGC